Molecule: ribosomal RNA, 253 nt
Filed under: uncultured bacterium
Lineage: Bacteria
Description: partial 16S ribosomal RNA
Rfam family: Bacterial small subunit ribosomal RNA
Source: RNAcentral
UACGUAGGGGGCAAGCGUUAUCCGGAUUCACUGGGUGUAAAGGGAGCGUAGACGGCCGUGCAAGCCUGGAGUGAAAGCCCGGGGCCCAACCCCGGGACUGCUCUGGGAACUGUGUGGCUGGAGUGCGGGAGGGGCAGGCGGAAUUCCUGGUGUAGCGGUGAAAUGCGUAGAUAUCAGGAGGAACACCGGCGGCGAAGGCGGCCUGCUGGACCGCGACUGACGUUGAGGCUCGAAAGCGUGGGGAGCAAACAGG